AGAGUUUGAUCAUGGCUCAGAUUGAACGCUGGCGGCAGGCCUAACACAUGCAAGUCGAGCGGUAGCACAGAGAGCUUGCUCUCGGGUGACGAGCGGCGGACGGGUGAGUAAUGUCUGGGAAACUGCCUGAUGGAGGGGGAUAACUACUGGAAACGGUAGCUAAUACCGCAUAAUGUCGCAAGACCAAAGUGGGGGACCUUCGGGCCUCAUGCCAUCAGAUGUGCCCAGAUGGGAUUAGCUAGUAGGUGGGGUAACGGCUCACCUAGGCGACGAUCCCUAGCUGGUCUGAGAGGAUGACCAGCCACACUGGAACUGAGACACGGUCCAGACUCCUACGGGAGGCAGCAGUGGGGAAUAUUGCACAAUGGGCGCAAGCCUGAUGCAGCCAUGCCGCGUGUGUGAAGAAGGCCUUCGGGUUGUAAAGCACUUUCAGCGGGGAGGAAGGCGUUAAGGUUAAUAACCUUGGCGAUUGACGUUACCCGCAGAAGAAGCACCGGCUAACUCCGUGCCAGCAGCCGCGGUAAUACGGAGGGUGCAAGCGUUAAUCGGAAUUACUGGGCGUAAAGCGCACGCAGGCGGUCUGUCAAGUCGGAUGUGAAAUCCCCGGGCUUAACCUGGGAACUGCAUUCGAAACUGGCAGGCUAGAGUCUUGUAGAGGGGGGUAGAAUUCCAGGUGUAGCGGUGAAAUGCGUAGAGAUCUGGAGGAAUACCGGUGGCGAAGGCGGCCCCCUGGACAAAGACUGACGCUCAGGUGCGAAAGCGUGGGGAGCAAACAGGAUUAGAUACCCUGGUAGUCCACGCCGUAAACGAUGUCGAUUUGGAGGUUGUGCCCUUGAGGCGUGGCUUCCGGAGCUAACGCGUUAAAUCGACCGCCUGGGGAGUACGGCCGCAAGGUUAAAACUCAAAUGAAUUGACGGGGGCCCGCACAAGCGGUGGAGCAUGUGGUUUAAUUCGAUGCAACGCGAAGAACCUUACCUGGUCUUGACAUCCACAGAACUUUCCAGAGAUGGAUUGGUGCCUUCGGGAACUGUGAGACAGGUGCUGCAUGGCUGUCGUCAGCUCGUGUUGUGAAAUGUUGGGUUAAGUCCCGCAACGAGCGCAACCCUUAUCCUUUGUUGCCAGCGGUUAGGCCGGGAACUCAAAGGAGACUGCCAGUGAUAAACUGGAGGAAGGUGGGGAUGACGUCAAGUCAUCAUGGCCCUUACGACCAGGGCUACACACGUGCUACAAUGGCAUAUACAAAGAGAAGCGACCUCGCGAGAGCAAGCGGACCUCAUAAAGUAUGUCGUAGUCCGGAUUGGAGUCUGCAACUCGACUCCAUGAAGUCGGAAUCGCUAGUAAUCGUAGAUCAGAAUGCUACGGUGAAUACGUUCCCGGGCCUUGUACACACCGCCCGUCACACCAUGGGAGUGGGUUGCAAAAGAAGUAGGUAGCUUAACCUUCGGGAGGGCGCUUACCACUUUGUGAUUCAUGACUGGGGUGAAGUCGUAACAAGGUAACCGUAGGGGAACCUGCGGUUG
RNAcentral lists this ribosomal RNA (1520 nucleotides) under Klebsiella pneumoniae. RNAcentral describes it as "bacterial SSU rRNA". It matches the Rfam family "Bacterial small subunit ribosomal RNA". The record is from RNAcentral. Lineage: Bacteria; Pseudomonadati; Pseudomonadota; Gammaproteobacteria; Enterobacterales; Enterobacteriaceae.